This 326-nucleotide ribosomal RNA is filed under the name uncultured Pseudomonadota bacterium. Its description in RNAcentral is "bacterial SSU rRNA". It matches the Rfam family "Bacterial small subunit ribosomal RNA", at positions 29 to 351 of the family's 1533-position model. The record is from RNAcentral. Lineage: Bacteria; Pseudomonadati; Pseudomonadota.
AGUGAACGCUGGCGGCAGGCCUAACACAUGCAAGUCGAACGGCAGCACAGCAGUAGCAAUACUGUGGGUGGCGAGUGGCGGACGGUGAGGAAUGCAUCGGAAUCUGCCUAUUUGUGGGGGAUAACGUAGGGAAACUUACGCUAAUACCGGCAUACGACCUACGGGUGAAAGUGGGGGACCGCAAGGCCUCACGCAGAUAGAUGAGCCGAUGCCGGAUUAGCUAGUUGGCGGGUAAAGGCCCACCAAGGCGACGAUCCGUAGCUGGUCUGAGAGGAUGAUCAGCCACACUGGAACUGAGACACGGUCCAGACUCCUACGGGUGGCUG